This 253-nucleotide ribosomal RNA is filed under the name uncultured bacterium. Its description in RNAcentral is "partial 16S ribosomal RNA". It matches the Rfam family "Bacterial small subunit ribosomal RNA", at positions 524 to 776 of the family's 1533-position model. The record is from RNAcentral.
UACGUAGGGGGCAAGCGUUGUCCGGAAUCAUUGGGCGUAAAGCGCGUGUAGGCGGCCCGGUAAGUCCGCUGUGAAAGUCGGGGGCUCAACCCUCGAAUGCCGGUGGAUACUGUCGGGCUAGAGUGCGGGAGAGGCGAGUGGAAUUCCUGGUGUAGUGGUGAAAUGCGCAGAUAUCAGGAGGAACACCAAUUGCGAAGGCAGCUCGCUGGAACGUAACUGACGCUGAGACGCGAAAGCGUGGGGAGCAAACAGG